GGGUCAGUAGGUUGGUCGUGCCACCGGUACGUACUGGUCUCACUGAUCCCUCCUUCCUGAAGAACCGUAAUGCCAUUAAUUUGGUGUUGCGGGGGAACAGGACUGUUACUUUGAAAAAAUUAGAGUGUUUAAAGCAAGCUAACGCCUGAAUACAUUAGCAUGGAAUAAUGAAAUAGGACGAUCGAUCCUAUUUUGUUGGUUUCUAGGAUUGACGUA
Molecule: ribosomal RNA, 216 nt
Filed under: Glomeromycotina sp.
Lineage: Eukaryota; Fungi; Glomeromycota
Description: partial small subunit ribosomal RNA
Rfam family: Eukaryotic small subunit ribosomal RNA (bases 75-216)
Source: RNAcentral